This 376-nucleotide ribosomal RNA is filed under the name Durinskia baltica. RNAcentral's name for it is "partial Bacterial small subunit ribosomal RNA". It matches the Rfam family "Bacterial small subunit ribosomal RNA", at positions 488 to 865 of the family's 1533-position model. The record is from RNAcentral. Lineage: Eukaryota; Dinophyceae; Peridiniales; Kryptoperidiniaceae.
AAGCAUCGGCUAACUCCGUGCCAGCAGCCGCGGUAAUACGGAGGGUGCAAGCGUUGUCCGGAUUUAUUGGGUUUAAAGGGUACGUAGGCGGAAUUUUAAGUCAGUAGUGAAAGCCCAUCGCUUAACGAUGGAACUGCUAUUGAUACUGGAAUUCUUGAAUAUAGUUGAAGUUGGCGGAAUACGGCAUGUAGCGGUGAAAUGCAUAGAUAUGCCGUGGAACACCGAUCGCGAAGGCAGCUAACUAAGCUAUUAUUGACGCUGAGGUACGAAAGCGUGGGGAGCGAACAGGAUUAGAUACCCUGGUAGUCCAUGCCGUAAACGAUGAUCACUCGCUGUUGGCGAUAUACCGUUCAGCGGCCAAGCGAAAGCGUUAAGU